Molecule: unclassified non-coding RNA, 2808 nt
Filed under: Hevea brasiliensis (rubber tree)
Lineage: Eukaryota; Viridiplantae; Streptophyta; Magnoliopsida; Malpighiales; Euphorbiaceae
Source: RNAcentral
GAAGGAGCUCAAAUUUUGAAGGCUGGGUCUGUAGUACUGGUAUUGUUUGAUUAGAGAAAAGAGUCACAGAAAGAAUCAAUUUUUGCACCAAGUAGAUAAUCUUCCCUGUAUACUCAUGACAAAAAUGUAAAAAAUUUACUUUUUAUCUUCAACAAGGCUCUCUGUUUAGGGUUUUAUCUUUCUCUCUGCCUUUUUCUGUUCAUUUAAGCUUCGGGGUUCUUGCCCAAUUAGUUUUAACAAGCACUCUUUCUUGGAUUUUGCUUUACUGGGUUGGGUUGGCUUUGGUUGUUUUGUGGUAUUUUAGCUCAAAGCCAGGGCUUUCAUAUGGUUUGUCAUUAUUGGGUAGUUUUGGUGGAGUAGGUGCUGCAAUUUUCUUCAGUUUUAUGUAGUCUCUUUUGUUUUCACCUUGUCUUACUUCUAGGUCUCUGGGUUACAGACAACCUUGGUGGACUUAUUUUUCGUACUACUUGAGUUUUAAGGUUUGUUUUAUGAGUUUAGUUUGUGUUCUGAAUUGGGUGGUGGAUUCGGCUCCUCAAAUUGUUACAAGUUCUCUGCAGUUUUGCGGAACUGGAUGUGCUGCGUUGAUUCUUUUGCUUGUAUUUUGUGGAGUGGCUGUAUCUGGGUUGUGGUAUUUUGUUGAUUUUCAUAAGGGUCUGCUUGGUUUAAUAAAUUUGGUAGCGGUGAUUGUGGCUGAGGAGGCGGCGGCGGCGGCGGCGAUGAUGGUGAUUCAUGGGUACUAGAACGGUGAAUGUUAGUGGACAAAAUGAUAAUAGCACUUUGACCGAGAUGCCGAGUUUCGUUCCUUCAAUACCCACUUCCAAUCCAAUGGGCACAGAAGGAAAUAGUAUCCGCUCUCGAAUUUCAGAUUUUGGAACACUUGAACAGUCUCUUGGAUUUCGCAUAGAAGAUGCUGUUGAUCUUAGCAGAAAUCCUGUGUUCAAUCAGUUAAAAUCAAGCAGCCAGGCAAUAGGCACUGAUGUCCAAUUUGGCUCUUUGAAUAAGUCACUUUCAUACUCAGAUAUAAAUCUGUCUGCUGCUGUUGUGCGUGCCCAAUCAUUGCCACUGCAGAAAGAAUCACAAUCAAAUCCAGUUACUAUGCUUGGUAGCCACCGUGAAAAUUGGGGAGAGACCAAUGUUGCCGAUGGCAGUCCUAGAACUGAUACCUCAACAGAUGACACAGAUGACAAAAAUCAAAGGAGUGAAAGAGGACAGUCAACUGCAGUCAUGGCAUCUGAUUCUAGUGACAAAUCAAAGGAAAAGUCAGGGGAUCAAAAGACAUUGCGCAGACUUGCUCAAAAUCGUGAAGCUGCCAGAAAAAGCAGGCUAAGGAAAAAAGCAUAUGUACAACAAUUGGAGAGCAGUCGGCUGAAGCUAACUCAACUUGAGCAAGAGCUCCAAAGAGCCCGCCAACAGGUUUGCUUGUUACUACUUUUUUGAUGUUGAGAUAUGUUUUAUUGGCUCCUAUUUUUCUGUCAUGUUUGAUUGCUUUUAUUUAACUUUAUUGAAUUUAGGGCAUUUUUAUUUCGAGCUCAGGAGAUCAAUCCCAUUCAAUGAGUGGAAAUGGUACUUUAAUCUAUUUUUAGUCCAUUUAUUUUUAUUUUUCUUGCAGAUGUGUAAUUGGUCAUGGUAUGAUGGAUCUGGUGAAUUUAUGUUUUCACAUGUUAUGCGUGAUCAAGUGAAUGCCAUCCACAUUUGUAGAAAUCCUUUAAUGUUUUAAAUAUCGGCCAAUAUGUAUCAUAUCAGGUCAGCCAAUAUAUAUUGGAUUUUGUAAGGGUCUAUCAAUUUGAUAUUUUCUGGUACACUACCUGUAAUUCAUGAAUCUUUGUGAAUCCACAGAGUAUGAGAUGCUGUUACAGCCUGUUAUGCUUAUGGUGCAACAGCUGUAGCAGCAGGCAAAUAGAGAAAAAGGGUGGGCAGGAUUGGAUGGGUGUACAUGGAUUGAGUGGAAGCGUUGCCAAUUGGAUUUCCAGAAUUUUUUUUUUAUAAUUUUAAACCUUAGAGGAAGUUUAUUUCUUUUAAUUUUUAUUUAGACCAUUGAACCAUUUCUGUUACGUUUUUUUUAUAUCAAUUUGUUGUGUUAAUUUAUUGUUACAAUCCAUUCCUAUACAAAUAAAAUCUUAAAAAAAAAAAAUCUUUUUUGUAAUGAACUAUUUCUUUAACCAUAUUUUACUAUAAAUUGUUAAAUAUACUUGAUAAUUAUGAUAUUUAAAUUCUUCGUUGAAUGUUUGAUUUGAGCCAUUUUGCUAAUUUUGUGAAAUACACUGUUGAUAGAAUCUUACAAUUCUUGAUUCAAAUCGCAUGAUUUGAUUCAAUUCUCCAUCCUAAUGAUUCAAAUCUAUGGGUUUAAUUGCAAAUGUAUCAGAAUCAUGACCGAAUCUUCCGAUUCGAUAGUGAAUCGGGUGAAUCGAUAUGAGUCUUUUUCUAGAGAGUUAGAUCCUAUAUCUUCAAAAUUUAAGAUUUCACUUCAUUUUUACUAUGAAAAGUGCACAUAAAACCUUCCCCUAACUAUUUUUCUUCCGCCAACCAUUCUUUACCCUCUCCCUUUUCUUUCUUUUCUUUUUUUUUUUUUAAUAAUAAUUUUUUUUCCGAGACAGAGAGGGACGGUGGAACAGUCUUUGGCGACCUUUAGUAAGGUGAUAUCGAUGGCGGUCGCUGAACGGCGAAAGCAUCACAGCGAUAAGAAAAUGUUUAGUCUCUGUACUUUUUGGCAGAGUGGAACAACGAACUCCUCGUCUUCCUCUUCUACGCAGAAUCUCAACCACACUCAAAACAGCAACAGCAACAGCAACAACAGCAGCAGGUGGAAGA